RNAcentral lists this long non-coding RNA (5875 nucleotides) under Populus tremula. Its description in RNAcentral is "long non-coding RNA (PTRE_LNC002903)". The record is from RNAcentral. Lineage: Eukaryota; Viridiplantae; Streptophyta; Magnoliopsida; Malpighiales; Salicaceae.
AAAUUCCAGCGCAUAGGAGAGGUGCGGCGGCAUCUAGAGGUAGGUUGUCUGGAAUAUGAACAACGAAGUGCUCAUCUACGACCAUAAUGUCCGAGUAGCCCCCGUACGUGGUGGUUCCGUCGUGGUAUUUGCUGGCAUAGGAGAGUAUCAUUUUUGGGCAAUAAUUCUCGAGAUGGCUGUUGCAACUAUCGCAAGAGCGGCAUGAUCCAACCAUGCACCCCACCCCCACUUUGUCUCCAACUUUGAUCUUCUCGACUUUGCUUCCUACCUCUGUCACUUCCCCGACAAUCUCAUGCCUGCAUUGCCAAUUUAAUUUAAUUAACCUCCAGCGGCGGAGCUGGUAAUAAUCGGUAGCGAAGGUCAAAAUUAAUAUAAAAAAGAUAUAUUAUUAAAAAGUUUAUUUAUUUAAAAUAAAAAAUAUUAUAUAUUUUAUAUUUAAAUACUAAAUAAUAAAAAGUUUAAAAUGUUUUGCGGAGCCAGCCCCUGCUUGCCUCCCCUAGUUCCGCCCCUGCCUCAUAUGCAAGGCAUGGCUGAAUUUAUUCCAGUCAAAGUUCCUCUAAACAUCUUCGUUGGACUGCCAAUUGCCAUUCAUCAUGUUUAUGUACAAAAAAUCAAGAGAAUAACUAUACGGCCAUGGAUUUUUCUUGCUGUGUGUACAUACCCGGGAACUAGAGGGUACGUGGACAUACCCCAAUCAUUCUUGGCCAUAUGAAGGUCUGUGUGACAUAUUCCACAAAACAGCACCUUGAAUCGCACAUCCUUCUCUCCUGUAGACCUGUUGAAAGAGGUGUUUCUUGCUUAGCAUAAACCGCAAGUGAAAACGAGAGAUAUUCAUAGGUAGAAAAUCUAUCAGAUCGCCAUUCACCAACCAUAAUAUUGCUAAACAUAUAUAUAAAGCUAUGAACAUGUGAUUCAAUAAACUUAUUUCACAUAAUAAAAAUAAAAGGCUGCCAUAUCUGAUGUAGCCCAUCUUGCAGCUGUGCUGCAUGCUUGUUGGUGUUUAGAAAAACAAGAAGAAAAUGGAUCUAAGUAAAACCGAGCUAGACAGAGAGAGAGAAGAAGUCCCAUAAUUAAAUAAAUAAAGCAGCGACAAGAUGGAGGAGAGGGAAUAACCUCCUGGAGAAUUUGAAAGGAGAGAGGACCCCGGAUUGGUCUCUGGCUGCCCAUCCAAAAGCCUUGGUAGGAUGUUCUUCCUCGUAAGAUUUUUCUGCCAUUUUCGCCUCCUUUUGCUCUAUUUGGUACUGCCGAGAGAGUGUGCAUGGUGCACUAAUUUAUAAUGGCGGGUGGUCAGCCAUUGCGUAUAAUGGGCAGGGAUGACAUGUUGGUGAGCUAAGCACCGUUAGUCGCUCAUCCGUGAGCCAAUCAAUUAUCUCGAGAGAAAAGCCAUCUGUCCAUUAGCUAGUUAUAAAAUUUGAAACGAACAAGAACGUCUUUUUUUGUGUUUUAAAAAUAAUUAAAAAUAAUUAUUUUUUUUUAAUUAUUAUUUUUUUAAUAUUAUUAAAUUAUUUUAAUAUAUUAAUAUCAAAAUUAAUUUUUAAAACAUAUAAAAAAUAUAUUAUAUUAAUAUAUUUUUAUAUAAAAAAUAAUUUAAAAAAUAAUCGUAACCUCAAUCAACAAUCGAAGAGUUUCGAAUCUCAAGUACACGCUGUCGUUUACUCUCAACUCUAUUUCCUUGCGUUGAAUUAACAAGUGAAAACUGAAUUUCCGGCCUCCAAACCAAUGGUUGUGUGCCUCCUAAUAAAAUAAUAUAUUGGAGAAGUUUUGAACCGCAUUUUAUUUAUUCUCUUUAUGGAUCAACAACUAAUAAACAUUCAUAAAAAGAGAUGCAAUGCAAGUAUGCCUGUUAGCCAGACCAGGUGAACGCAAGAAAAUAAUGGCAAAAAAAAAAAACCAAUUCACCAAAAACAAUGUUAUAUGAACCGCAUUUUAUUUAUUCUCUUUAUGGAUCAACAAAUAAUAAAAUCUUGAUUCUUAAAACAAUAAAUAAAAUCAUGAACAGCAAACCAUUUUCUCUUUUUGCAUCAACAGAUAAUAAAAUCAAGAACAACAGGCAAGGUAAUUACACAAAGUCCCUCAAAAAGAAAGUCAAACGAGCAGCGCGAUGUCCGAAUCUACUUAUUAUUAUACAUAGUACCUGUUUAGGAUUGUGUUUGAAAAGCGAUUUUUAUAAAAUUAAAAAAAAAAUUUGUUUAGAAUUAAUAUGUUUUUGAUGUGCUGAUCUCAAAAAUAAUUUUUAAAAAUAAAAUUAUUAACAUAUUUUUUUAAAUAAAAUAUAUUUUAAAAAAUAACCACAACUACCAUCACAAACACGUUAAUAUCCUAGGAAAGCAAGCAGUGACAACAACAGGAAAAACCUGGUGUUUGCUGAGUAUGUGUGCUGAUUAGUACUGUCUGUGGGCUCUGAGAGAGCUUAGACCCGAGGGCUAUUUAUAAGGUUUUGUGGAAGCUUGCGGGACCCCGGAACAGAACCUGGAAGGCUGGAACACCUGCGCCAUGUUCAUAAAUGGCAAGGGGUGUUUAUAUAGUGAGGGCUCGGGUAAGUUUCCACAAAGAAAACGCGUGGGGUCAUAGAUAACGUGGACGGCUGGAACACAGAGGCCAGCAAGAAAACGGAUGGUGCUAAAAAAUAAUUUGAUUUUUAUUAACGUUAGCGGACACUUGUCCUCAUUUUAUUUCCCUAAAUUGGUAACCGUUACCUAUAACUAGUCUCCAUGUCAAACACUCAACGUAGUUAAAACGGCAUGUCGGCGUGGGAUUGGGUUGCGGGCCUUCGAUUUGGUAAGCUGGGCCUGCAUACUUGGAUCUCAUCUCCCUGCAUUAUUAUUAUUAUUAUGAGUGCUAUAAAUGACAUGCUAAACUAAUGCUUGGAAAAAAAGAAGAAGAAAAUCAACACAAAAAAAAUUGCAAAAGAUAAAUACACACGAAAAAAUAAAUUCAACUAAAAAGAUUUGUAUGAAAAAAAUUAAAAAAUACUAUAAAUAAAUCAACUAAAAAUUGAUCUCACGUGAAAAAAAAAUCAUACAACAACAUUUAUAAAACUAUUAAGAAAAAAAACAAUUAAAAAUAAAAUGAAAACAUAUAUAGUGAAAAAUACAUGAAAAAAUAAGAUUUUUUUUUUACCUUAAUAUAGUUGCAAGUGAAGUUAAGAAGAGAAAUUUUUUCGUAAAAUGAUUAAUUAAAAAAAAUUGAGAAAAAAAUAAGAAGGAAGAAGAAGACAAACUUGAGCAUGGAGAAGAAGAGAAGGGGUCGAGGAGAGAAGAAGAGAAAGGGUCGAGGUCUAUUGUGAAAUUAGGGAUUCUAGACUUUUUAUUGGGCGUUUUACCAAUAAUUUUGCAGAUGGAUUAUUAAAUAUUAAUAUUUUUAAUUAUUUUGUCGACGAUUCCGUCCGUAAUAUUUAAUUUAAAUUUUGAAUUUAAUCAAAAAAUUUCAAAAACCAUCAAAUAUCACUGGCGACUUUUCAAUCUGUCGGUGAUUCUGUUUGUAAUAUUUAGUUUAAAAUUUUACUCUAAGCUAAGUUUUUCAGAAAACUGCCCAAUAACAUCGACGAAUUUUCAAUCUAUCGUUGAUUUUAUCUAUAAAAAACAGUAACUAACAAUAAAAUUUGAAAGUGAAUAAUUCCAGAGCUCUGUAAAAUAUAGACAGAAGUUUCUGUUGGUGAUUCCGUUUGUAAUUGGCAUGAUGAAUAGUGUUCACAAUUUACCAACAAUUUUACCAAUAAAAUUUACGGAUAGAAUAAAUUCUGUUAGUAAUUCCGUUGAAAGAACAACUUGUCAUCAUUUUUUUUACCUUGUUUUAUUUUUUUUAAUGUAAUUGUUUUUGGUAAAUAUUGAUGGAAUAUUUUCAUCAGUAAAAUUCUUAGGUAAUCUAUGAACAAAAAAAAUUACAUCAGUAUUUUUAUUUAUAUUUAUCAAUAAAAGUUGAAAAAUUAUUUUUUUAAUAAUCAUCUAUCUGGUUUUUUCGAAGACUACGUACUCUAUCGUGGGAGCGCACUAUUGUCAACCCGGCAAUGAAAGGCAACAUGGUAAUUAAAAACUCCAAAGUCGUGUUUUUGUUCAGCAUUCAAUACAUAAAAAACAGUGAGAAAGAAAGCACUCGUUAUCCAUGUCCCACUCCCACGCAGACAUGAUCUGAUUUAAUCAAUUUUGAAUUAUGGGAUAGUACUGACCUAAUUAAUUUGACAAUUCAACAUCUUAAUAUUCUUAAUUACAAGAGUACUUUGUCCAUGUUUGACGUCCUUUAUUCUUAGAGAUGAGAUGGAAAUAAAUUAAUUUUAUUCAAUGUGUGGGAUUGAAAAGAUCAUGAUUAAAUUGACGCCAAGGGUUCAAGUAAUUAUUAUGAUAAAUGGAAAAAUAAAUUAAUGUGUGGGAUUGAAAAGAUCAAGAUUAAUAUGACCUAUAUAUAUUUGUUAAAACAGGACUUUCUGAUAAUUUUCUCAAAGAAUAAGGUCAUGUCUGCAAAUAACAGGGCUGCUCUCUUUGUUGAAAUCUAAUAGUUUUCCACUGUACUGAGUAAAAGCUUGUGAGUAUAAAAAGAAAAACAUGUGCAAAAAUGUACUCCAUUGAUCGAUUCAUAUAAAGCGAAACUCUUCUGAUAAAUAAUAAAAAGGUGAGGGGCUUAAACAAAAUAAAUCAAAGCAGAAACACUUGGAACAUAAAAUUUACACAGAAAUAGAGGUACUAAAUAACGUCACCUCAUUGCUUCAAUUUUCAAAACAUGAUUACAGUGUGCUUACAGAGAUACCGAAAACUCCAUAAUUUUCAAACCCACGAAUCUCACAUUACAUGCGUUUUAUUUCGUACAGUGUUUACGAGGAGGAGAAUUCAAAUCUUCAUGGUGUUGCCGAUGUCAAUAACAAAUCGGUAUCUGACAUCUGCUUUCGAAAGCCGCACCAUUGCGGUGUUCACAUAAUCCAUCGAGAUAACCUCAAUGUCUGCAGUGAUGUUGUUCUUGGCAGCAAAAUCAAUCAUCUCUUGUGUUUCCUUCAUUCCUCCUAUGCUGCUCCCUCCCACUAUUUUUCUUCCUGCCAAGCCAAGAACAUGGAAUUCGUCGCUGUCAGCUCAAUAAAAUAAAUUUAGAACACAUGCUGAGAUGCAAGCAUAUAUACAUACCCAUGAUCAGAGGAAACACUGGUAGCUCAAGUGGCUUCUCAGGCGCACCAACCAAGACCAGUUUUCCUUGAGUCUUCAAUAGACUAAUCAAAGGCAAGAUAGGAUGUAUGGCCGACACCGUGUCAAUCACACCAUCCAUUGUGCCCAUAGCAGCCUGAAUAACAGACAAUAUUAUAUUAUGUUUGAUGCUUAAUUAGUUUUACAGAUAAAUACAAGGAAUGUGCUCUGAACCAUGUUUAUAUAUAUAUAUACCUGCAUCUCAUCCUGGUCACGACUAACUAGAAACGAGUCAGCACCAAGAUGCUCAAGGGCUUCUUGUUUCUUCUUGGGAGAGGUGCUAAUAACUGUAACCUUGACCCCCAUGGCCUUUGCAAACUUUACAGCUACAUGACCUAGCCCGCCGAGCCCAACCACGCCCACAUGCAUACCCGGUUUGUCAAGAUUAAAAAACCUCAAGGGGCUGUAAACUGUAAUCCCAGCACAUAGGAGAGGUGCGGCGGCAUCUAGAGGUAGGUUGUCUGGAAUAUGAACAAGGAAGUGCUCAUCUACGACCAUAAUGUCCGAGUAGCCCCCGUAUGUGGUGGUUCCGUCGUGGUAUUUGCUGGCAUAGGAGAGUAUCAUUUUUGGGCAAUAAUUCUCGAGAUGGCUGUUGCAACUAUCGCAAGAGCGGCAUGAUCCAACCAUGCACCCCACCCCCACUUUGUCUCCAACUUUGAUCUUCUCGACUUUGCUUCCUACCUCUGUCACUUCCCCGACAAUCUCAUGCC